AACGAACGCUGGCGGCAUGCCUAACACAUGCAAGUCGAACGCCUGUAGCAAUACAGGAGUGGCAGACGGGUGCAUAACACGUUGGAACCUACCCUUGGGUUCGGAAUAACCGCGGGAAACUGCGGCUAAUACCGGAUACGUCCUCUGGGAGAAAGAUUCAUCGCCCUUGGAGGGGCCCGCGUCGGAUUAGCGAGUUGGUGAGGUAACGGCUCACCAAGGCGACGAUCCGUAGCUGAUCUGAGAGGAUGAGCAGCCACACUGGAACUGAGACACGGUCCAGACUCCUACGGGAGGCAGCAGUGGGGAAUAUUGGACAAUGGGGGCAACCCUGAUCCAGCAAUGCCGCGUGGGUGAUGAAGGCCUUCGGGUUGUAAAGCCCUUUUGGCAGGGACGAUGAUGACGGUACCUGCAGAAUAAGCCCCGGCUAACUUCGUGCCAGCCGCCGCAGUAA
Molecule: ribosomal RNA, 451 nt
Filed under: uncultured bacterium
Lineage: Bacteria
Description: partial 16S ribosomal RNA
Rfam family: Bacterial small subunit ribosomal RNA
Source: RNAcentral